GAUAGGGUGGCUGAGGUAAGCGGUAAAUUGUAAAUUUAUAUACGAAAUAAUAAUUUCUCCUUUCA
This 65-nucleotide transfer RNA is filed under the name Apogonia cf. basalis. RNAcentral describes it as "tRNA-Tyr". Lineage: Eukaryota; Metazoa; Arthropoda; Insecta; Coleoptera; Scarabaeidae. The record is from RNAcentral.